RNAcentral lists this ribosomal RNA (477 nucleotides) under uncultured bacterium. RNAcentral's name for it is "partial 16S ribosomal RNA". It matches the Rfam family "Bacterial small subunit ribosomal RNA", at positions 28 to 506 of the family's 1533-position model. The record is from RNAcentral.
GAUGAACGCUGGCGGCGUGCCUAACACAUGCAAGUCGAACGGAGUCCAGCCUUUAAGACCUUCGGGUCAAAGAGGGGAAGACUGAGUGGCGGACGGGUGAGUAACACGUGGGCAACCUGGCUCAUAGAGGGGGAUAACAGAGAGAAAUUUCUGCUAAUACCGCAUAAGCACACACUGCCGCAUGGCAGAGGGUGAAAAGAGAAUCGCUAUGAGAUGGACCCGCGUCUGAUUGGCCAGUUGGCAGGGUAAGAGCCUACCAAAGCGACGAUCAGUAGCCGAUCUGAGAGGAUGAACGGCCACAUUGGGACUGAGACACGGCCCAAACUCCUACGGGAGGCAGCAGUGGGGGAUAUUGCACAAUGGGGGGAACCCUGAUGCAGCGACGCCGCGUGAGUGAAGAAGUAUUUCGGUAUGUAAAGCUCUAUCAGCAGGGAAGAUAAUGACAGUACCUGAAUAAGAAGCCCCGGCUAACUACGU